AAAAUAACCUAUAGUUGUUUGUGUUGUGACCAUUACCAAGUCCUUUUCUCCUUCAGUUAGGCGACAAUCAGGCAUUGAUUGACUCAAUAUUGCUGAGGUUUAAUCAUUCCUCUGGAGAGGAUUCCAUUCACCAGGUCCUGUCUAUGCCAUUGUUACUGGGACCUCAUGUCCUCGGUGUUCACUGCUGAGGUCCCCCAAUGGCUGCUUUCGUGAUCCAUGAAAAGUCGAAUCAAUCUGAUGUCUUCAUGCCCUCAAGUUAGGGUUACUUCACCUGGAUUUGCUUGGGAAAAUGACCUACCAUGUGUCCCCUCUACUGGAGAAUUUCUUACUAUGGUUUUAAAAAAUGAUUCUUACAUUAUGUAACAACAAUUAAAACAGUGAUUCAGUAACAUUCAGUAGUCGAACUCAGAUAGAUAAAAAGACUUGCGGUGCUUGAAUUUCA
Molecule: long non-coding RNA, 442 nt
Organism: Zingiber officinale
Lineage: Eukaryota; Viridiplantae; Streptophyta; Magnoliopsida; Zingiberales; Zingiberaceae
Exons: 2
Source: RefSeq, a predicted model, not a curated record